RNAcentral lists this ribosomal RNA (253 nucleotides) under uncultured bacterium. RNAcentral describes it as "partial 16S ribosomal RNA". It matches the Rfam family "Bacterial small subunit ribosomal RNA", at positions 524 to 776 of the family's 1533-position model. The record is from RNAcentral.
UACGGAGGGUGCAAGCGUUAUCCGGAUUCACUGGGUUUAAAGGGUGCGUAGGUGGGUCUGUAAGUCAGUGGUGAAAUCUCCGGGCUUAACCCGGAAACUGCCAUUGAUACUAUAGGUCUUGAAUUUUCUGGAGGUCAGCGGAAUAUGUCAUGUAGCGGUGAAAUGCUUAGAUAUGACAUAGAACACCGAUUGCGAAGGCAGCUGACUACAGGAACAUUGGCACUGAGGCACGAAAGCGUGGGGAUCAAACAGG